RNAcentral lists this long non-coding RNA (3904 nucleotides) under Sus scrofa (pig). RNAcentral's name for it is "lncRNA (ENSSSCG00030051174.1)". The record is from RNAcentral. Lineage: Eukaryota; Metazoa; Chordata; Mammalia; Artiodactyla; Suidae.
CUGCUGUGGAGUGAGAAGGAUGGGGGGCCUCUGAGUGGCCUUCUGGCUCUGGAACAGGGGGAUUCUCCUGCACACAAGCCGGAGGGCAGACAUCUGAUCCCCGCAGGUCACAUCUUCCAUCAUUCGGGCCCACAGGCCUGCUCCUCGUGGAUGCGUUGUUGAAGUGCCAGCCAGUUCCAAGCAGCUGUGUGGCCCGACCUGCCCUGAGGGUUGGCGACACCAACCAGCUCCAGGGGCAGCUCCAGGGCUUGGACAUAAAGGUGGAAAGUGAGACCUCCCACAUCCCUAGACUCCGAGUCUUCUGGAAGGAGGAGGUAAUGACUGCGACGGAGGAGAUGGCAGCCCACCUUGUUCUGGGGUUUCAGUGACCCCGUAAUGAGGGGGACACCAUCCCCUACUGGUUCUGGAGGGAAAGAGUGAACACAGACUGGCCCACAUUCAAAGAAUAGAAGCAAGACUAUCCUGGGAAAAUCUUGGGAAAUGAAACCUGCAUAUCAACAUAGAAUUGUGGCCAAUGGGGACCAGCAGCCUCAGCUUUGGAAAAACAGCUGGGGUGGGGGGCCUACUUUUAGUGGAGAUGAGUAGCUCAUUGUGUUUAAUAGAAAAAGGCCGAAAUGAGGAGACGUAGUUCCUUAGGGGACUAUUUUGAGGUGAUGGAAUUGAUCAUCUGGGCAAAUGGGUUUUUGCUUAGAGUUUGGCACCUGAACUCUUUAAAUCUGACACUGAGAAGUUAAAUAGACUCUACAGAGGUUUUCCCCUUCCUAUUAUCCGCUAUUAAUAGGAUAAUAUUACUCAUGAUUAUCCUAUUAUUUGAAAAAAAAGUAGCACCCCUAUCCUCCAGAGAAGUCAUUGAAACAAAGUGAAUAUUCAAGGACAAAGGGCUGACAUUCAAAGGGCUACAUUCAAAGGGCUACAUUCAAAAGUAUCAAUUGCCAGCUAUUGCCUAAGUGAUGGGCGAAUCAGUUACCACCGGCGGAGGAAGAGUUACCUUCCCAUUGGCAGAAAGGUAGGUUCUAGGAUUCAAAUCUAAUCCAACUGGGAAAGACUUAAUGGCAAGUGACCCAGUGAUGUUUGCAUUCAUUCCAAGGAGAGAGUGUGUCCUGGAGGAGAAAUCAGGACACCCCAAAACUGCAACUUGUAGGGGAUCCUAUUCCUCCUUAUGAGUCAUCCAGGAAGUAAGCGGGAUUUAACCGGAAAAGUCUGACCUAGGUUUGAUGUCCAGUUUCUGUUUACUAAGGCGAGGUCUUCGGUCUGUUGGCCUGUUUCUUAAUCUGCAUGGGAAGGUGGUGGGGGGUGAAGGGCAGCCAGGGGAGGAUUUGCAAAAUCUGAGGAGUUCCGAUGAGCUGUUGUAUUCAAAGUACUUCAAGUUCCUUGCUUAGGUUCUUUGGACCCACUGCAGGUGGUACUCUGCUCUCACUACUGAGCCUCUAGCCUCCUCACUUCCCUGGGGGGGCAAGAUGGCUGCAGACUGGAGAGAACUCUGAGAGAGCGGUUGGCCCAAUUUUCCUGGUUGGUAACAUCUUCCAAAACUAUAGUUCAGUAUUACAAUCAGGACACCAACAUUGACCCAGGCAAGAUAUAGGACAACUCCACCACCACAAGAAUCCCUUAUGUGGCACCUUUACAACCAGACUUGCUUCCCUCCCAGCCUCACCCUCUCUCUCCCGUCCCUGACAACUACUAAUCUAUUCUCUACCCAUGACUUUUGCCAUGUCAAGAAUAUUAUACAAGUGGGAAGCAUAAAAUACAUAACCUUUUGGGAAUGGCUUUCUUUUCACCCAGCACGACUCCCUGGAGAUUUAUCCAGGUCGUGGCACAUAUCAAUAGUGUCUUCCUUUUUAUUGCCGGUAGUACCAUCCCCUGCUGUGGGUGUGCUGCAUUGUGUUUAAACGUUUACCCAUUGAAGGACAUCUGGGUUAGUUCCAGAUUUUUGCUAUUAUGAAUAAAGCUUCUAUGAACACUGGUGUGCAGGUUUUGAAGGAACAUAAUUUUUGUUUCUCUGGGAUAAAUGCCCAGCAGUGGAAGUGCAAAUGCUGAAUGUAUGGUAGUUAUAUGUUUAGUUUUUUUAGGAAACUGCCAGAUCAUUUCCAAAGUGGUUGGAGAAUUUCAUAUUGCCAUAAGCAAUACAUGAUGGUUUAAACUUCUCCACAUCCUUGCCAUGAUUUGGUCCUGGCCACUAUUUCUUUUAACUAUUCUGAUGAGUGUGCAGUGAUAUUUCAUUGUGGUUUUAUUUUGUAUUCUCCUAAUGGAUAUGGAUGCUAACCAUCUUUUCAUGUGCUAUUUGCCAUCUGUAUAUCCUCACCAGUGAAAUGUCUGUUCACGUCUUUUGUAUAUUGUGUAAUUGAAUUGUUUGUUUCUUUUUUCACUGUUGAGUUUUGAGAACUGUUUAUAUAUUCUGAGAUUAGUCCUUUGUUAGACAUGUGGUUUGCAAAUAUUUUCUUUCAGUUCGUAUGUUAAUAGGGUGAUUUAUAGAGCUAAAGUUUUAAUUUUGAUGAUAUUUUAUCACUUCUUCCUUUUAUGGCUUGUGCUUUUGGUCUCAAGUCAAAGAAAUCUUUACUCAGUUUAAGAUCCCAAAGACUUCUCUUUUGUUUUACUUCUAUAAAUUUUAUUACGUUUAAGCCUGCAAUCUACUUUGAAUUUGCUAUAUAAGUUAUGAGGGUUAGGUAGAAAAAUUUGUAAGGACAAAAUUUAUUUUUUGUAUAUUUAUCUUGUAUCCUAUGAUCUUGCUGAACUCUAUUAUUAGAGAUUGAAGAUUUUUGGAGAUAAUUUGCUCCCCAUUUUCUGUUUUUAUUUUUGGCCUAUGAGUAUCCAAUUACUUCAUUAUCAUUUCUCACAAAGGCUACUCUUCCUCCAUUAAAUUACUCUUGUUCCUUUAGCAAAGGUCAGUUGGACAUAUUUGUGUGGCUCUGUUUCUGGGUUCUCUGUUUUGGUCCAUUGACCUAUGUGUCUAUCUUCUGUCAACACCACACAGCCUUAAUUGAUGUAGCUAUAUAAUGUCUUCAAACUGUGUUGACUCAUUCUUCCCACAGUAUAUUUUAUUUUCCAAAUUGUUUUAGCUGCUGUUCUUCUUUUGCCUUUUCAUAUACACUUUAGAAUGGUCUUUUCUCUCUCUACAAAACUCUUGUAGGGAUUUUGAUAAUGGUUGCAUUAUCUUUACUAUGUUGAAUCUUAAAAUCCAUGAACAUGGUAUAUAUAUCCAUUUAUUUGCAUUUGCUUUGUUUUUUUUUUUAUUAGUGUUUUGCAGUUUUUAGCCUGUACUCUCUAUAUUUUAUUUGUGCACAGGUAGCUCUUAUUUUUUGAGCAAUUGCAAAUAGCAUUGUAUUUUUAAUUUCAGUGUCUACAUGUUCAUUAAGAGUUUAUAGAAAUACAGUUGAUUAUUGAGUAUUUAUCUUACCUCUUGUACUAAACUAACUUAUGCUAGGAAUUUUGGCAAUAUUCCUUGGAAGUUUCUAAAUAGAUAAUCACAGUAUCCACAAAUAGGACUAGUUUUAUUUCUUCCUCUCUGAUCCCUGUGCCUUUUAUUUCUUCUUCUUGUCUUACUGCACUUGCUAGAUCUUCCAGUACUAUGUUGAAUAAGAGUGGUGAGAGUGGACUCCUGCCUUGUUUCCAAUCUUAGGGGAAAAGCACUCAGUAUUUUAACAUCAAGUGUAAUACUGGCUGCAGUAUUUUUUGCAGGUGUUCUUUAUCAAGCUGAAGAAGUUCUCUUUCCUCCUACUUUGUGAGAGGUUUAUUCAUUCAUUUAUUUUAACUGUGAAUGGUGUUAAAUUUUGUCAAAUGAUUUGUCUCCAUCAGGUGGUAUGACAUUGGACUUUUUUCUUCAGAUUGUUAUUAUGGAAAAUUGUAUUGAUUGAUUUAUUCAAAUGUUGAACCAGUCUUUCCUACUUGGAAUAAACCACAUGUGGCU